Molecule: ribosomal RNA, 427 nt
Filed under: uncultured bacterium
Lineage: Bacteria
Description: bacterial SSU rRNA
Rfam family: Bacterial small subunit ribosomal RNA
Source: RNAcentral
UGGGGAAUCUUGGACAAUGGGCGCAAGCCUGAUCCAGCAAUGCCGCGUGGGUGAAGAAGGCCUUCGGGUUGUAAAGCCCUUUUGUUUGGGAGCAAAGCUUACUCAUUAAUACUGGGUGAGGAUGAGAGUACCAAAAGAAUCAGCACCGGCUAACUACGUGCCAGCAGCCGCGGUAAUACGUAGGGUGCGAGCGUUAAUCGGAAUUACUGGGCGUAAAGGGUGCGCAGGUGGUUUUGCAAGACUGACGUGAAAGCCCCGGGCUCAACCUGGGAACGGCGUUAGUGACUGCAAGACUAGAGUGUGGCAGAGGGGGGUGGAAUUCCACGUGUAGCAGUGAAAUGCGUAGAGAUGUGGAGGAACACCGAUGGCGAAGGCAGCCCCCUGGGCUAACACUGACACUCAUGCACGAAAGCGUGGGGAGCAAACA